UACACUCCUGCGGGAGGCAGCAGUGGGGAAUUUUGGACAAUGGGCGAAAGCCUGAUCCAGCAAUGCCGCGUGAGUGAAGAAGGCCUUCGGGUUGUAAAGCUCUUUUGUCAGGGAAGAAACGGUGAAAGCUAAUAUCUUUUGCUAAUGACGGUACCUGAAGAAUAAGCACCGGCUAACUACGUGCCAGCAGCCGCGGUAAUACGUAGGGUGCAAGCGUUAAUCGGAAUUACUGGGCGUAAAGCGUGCGCAGGCGGUUUUGUAAGUCUGAUGUGAAAUCCCCGGGCUCAACCUGGGAAUUGCAUUGGAGACUGAAAGGCUAGAAUCUGGCAGAGGGGGGUAGAAUUCCACGUGUAGCAGUGAAAUGCGUAGAUAUGUGGAGGAACACCGAUGGCGAAGGCAGCCCCCUGGGUCAAGAUUGACGCUCAUGCACGAAAGCGUGGGGAGCAAACAGGAUUAGAUACCCCGGUAGUCCCAUGA
Molecule: ribosomal RNA, 477 nt
Filed under: uncultured organism
Description: partial 16S ribosomal RNA
Rfam family: Bacterial small subunit ribosomal RNA
Source: RNAcentral